GUGGGGAAUAUUGGACAAUGGGCGAAAGCCUGAUCCAGCAAUGCCGCGUGAGUGAAGAAGGCCUUAGGGUUGUAAAGCUCUUUUACCCGGGAUGAUAAUGACAGUACCGGGAGAAUAAGCUCCGGCUAACUCCGUGCCAGCAGCCGCGGUAAUACGGAGGGAGCUAGCGUUGUUCGGAAUCACUGGGCGUAAAGCGCACGUAGGCGGCUUUGUAAGUUAGAGGUGAAAGCCCGGGGCUCAACUCCGGAACUGCCUUUAAGACUGCAUCGCUUGAAUCUGGGAGAGGUAAGUGGAAUUCCGAGUGUAGAGGUGAAAUUCGUAGAUAUUCGGAAGAACACCAGUGGCGAAGGCGGCUUACUGGACCAGAAUUGACGCUGAGGUGCGAAAGCGUGGGGAGCAAACAGGAUUAGAAACCCGAGUAGUCC
RNAcentral lists this ribosomal RNA (425 nucleotides) under uncultured bacterium. RNAcentral's name for it is "partial 16S ribosomal RNA". It matches the Rfam family "Bacterial small subunit ribosomal RNA", at positions 354 to 796 of the family's 1533-position model. The record is from RNAcentral.